UGGAGGUCUUUGUGUCUUGCCCUUUGGUGUGAUGAAGCCAUUGCUGGUUCAUGUAUGCUGGGAGCGGAGGCACUAUGCAUACCUGUUGGUGGCUGUGCUCACGCUGCUGGAGACAGACAAGAAAUAAUGGAGUUCAGACUGCCAGCAAAUACCAGGGAUCAGCUGUGACCAAAGGACAAGUAAAAGAAGAUCUGAUGUCAGGCACCAGGGAAGCUGCUGAGUUCCCAGUGCUGUUGGAUCCACCUUCAUCUCCUUCUGCAGCCAACGGGCCUGUCCUUGCUCAGGUGGAGGGUGAAGGGCUGUGGGGACCCAGUGGUGUCUUCCCAUGUUGGCCCCACGCAUGUUGUUGUAGUCGCUGCUCGGCUCGGGCUCUGCCGCCUUGCUGUGUCUUAGCAUGUUUCUACAAUAAAGUUAACUCCACAGCGUCCUGUCGCUUUUCGUCACUGAGUCUCACGGGAGGGACGUGUGAGUCCCUGGUCUGGCUGCUUGCCACGCGUCCCUUGAGCACUAAGCACCAAACCCAAGCGAAGAUGUCAGACACACAGAAGAAGAAAGUGGUCUGGGUUCUGUUAGCAGGGACCAGCAGUUGGGUUCUCUGACUCUCUGUAGGGCCUUGGUGUAUCUCUUUGUCUCCCUUCAGCCCUUUUCUCUUGCCUGUAAAAACGGACAUUAAAAGAUGCUUACCUACCUC
RNAcentral lists this long non-coding RNA (691 nucleotides) under Pavo cristatus (Indian peafowl). RNAcentral's name for it is "lncRNA (ENSPSTG00000004099.1)". The record is from RNAcentral. Lineage: Eukaryota; Metazoa; Chordata; Aves; Galliformes; Phasianidae.